RNAcentral lists this ribosomal RNA (319 nucleotides) under uncultured Bacillaceae bacterium. RNAcentral's name for it is "bacterial SSU rRNA". It matches the Rfam family "Bacterial small subunit ribosomal RNA", at positions 505 to 825 of the family's 1533-position model. Lineage: Bacteria; Bacillati; Bacillota; Bacilli; Caryophanales; Bacillaceae. The record is from RNAcentral.
GUGCCAGCAGCUGCGGUAAUACGUAGGGGCAAGCGUUGUCCGGAAUUAUUGGGCGUAAAGCGCGCGCAGGCGGUUUCUUAAGUCUGAUGUGAAAUCUCGAGGCUCAACCUCGAGCGGUCAUUGGAAACUGGGGAACUUGAGUACAGAAGAGGAGAGUGGAAUUCCACGUGUAGCGGUGAAAUGCGUAGAUAUGUGGAGGAACACCAGUGGCGAAGGCGACUCUCUGGUCUGUAACUGACGCUGAGCGCGAAAGCGUGGGAGCGAACAGGAUUAGAUACCCUGGUAGUCCACGCCGUAAACGAUGAGUGCGUAGGUGUUA